CCUACGGGAGGCAGCAGUGAGGAAUAUUGGUCAAUGGGCGUAAGCCUGAACCAGCCAAGUCGCGUGAGGGAUGAAGGUUCUAUGGAUCGUAAACCUCUUUUAUAAGGGAAUAAAGUGUGGGAUGCGUCCUAUUUUGUAUGUACCUUAUGAAUAAGGAUCGGCUAACUCCGUACCAGCAGCCGCGGUAAUACGGAGGAUCCGAGCGUUUGCCGGAUUUAUUGGGUUUAAAGGGUGUGUAGGCGGCCUUUUAAGUCAGCGGUGAAAGUCUUGGGCUCAACCAUAGAAUUGCCGUUGAAACUGGGGGUCUUGAGUAUGGUUGAGGCAGGCGGAAUGCGUGGUGUAGCGGUGAAAUGCUUAGAUAUCACGCAGAACCCCGAUUGCGAAGGCAGCCUGCCAAGCCAUGACUGACGCUGAUGCACGAAAGCGUGGGGAUCAAACAGGAUUAGAUACCCCAGUAGUC
This 460-nucleotide ribosomal RNA is filed under the name uncultured bacterium. RNAcentral describes it as "partial 16S ribosomal RNA". It matches the Rfam family "Bacterial small subunit ribosomal RNA", at positions 338 to 795 of the family's 1533-position model. The record is from RNAcentral.